Molecule: ribosomal RNA, 460 nt
Filed under: uncultured bacterium
Lineage: Bacteria
Description: partial 16S ribosomal RNA
Rfam family: Bacterial small subunit ribosomal RNA
Source: RNAcentral
CCUACGGGAGGCUGCAGUGAGGAAUAUUGGUCAAUGGACGGAAGUCUGAACCAGCCAUGCCGCGUGCAGGAAGACGGCUCUAUGAGUUGUAAACUGCUUUUGUACAAGGGUAAACCUGAAUACGUGUAUUCAGCUGAAAGUACUGUACGAAUAAGGAUCGGCUAACUCCGUGCCAGCAGCCGCGGUAAUACGGAGGAUCCAAGCGUUAUCCGGAUUUAUUGGGUUUAAAGGGUGCGUAGGCGGAUUGAUAAGUUAGAGGUGAAAUGUCCGAGCUUAACUCGGGAACUGCCUCUAAUACUGUUGAUCUAGAGAGUAGAUGCGGUAGGCGGAAGGCGUGGGGUAGCGGUGAAAUGCAUAGAUAUCACGCAGAACCCCGAUUGCGAAGGCAGCAUGCCGGCUUCCGACUGACGCUGAAGCACGAAAGCGUGGGGAUCGAACAGGAUUAGAUACCCUGGUAGUC